UGGGGAAUUUUGGACAAUGGGCGAAAGCCUGAUCCAGCAAUGCCGCGUGUGUGAAGAAGGCCUUCGGGUUGUAAAGCACUUUUGUCCGGAAAGAAAUCCUUGGCUCUAAUACAGUCGGGGGAUGACGGUACCGGAAGAAUAAGCACCGGCUAACUACGUGCCAGCAGCCGCGGUAAUACGUAGGGUGCAAGCGUUAAUCGGAAUUACUGGGCGUAAAGCGUGCGCAGGCGGUUUGCUAAGACCGAUGUGAAAUCCCCGGGCUCAACCUGGGAACUGCAUUGGUGACUGGCAGGCUAGAGUAUGGCAGAGGGGGGUAGAAUUCCACGUGUAGCAGUGAAAUGCGUAGAGAUGUGGAGGAAUACCGAUGGCGAAGGCAGCCCCCUGGGCCAAUACUGACGCUCAUGCACGAAAGCGUGGGGAGCAAACAGGAUUAGAUACCCUGGUAGUCCACGCCCUAAACGAUGUCAACUAGUUGUUGGGGAUUCAUUCCUUAGUAACGUAGCUAACGCGUGAAGUUGACCGCCUGGGGAGUACGGUCGCAAGAUUAAAACUUCAAAUGGAAUUGACGGGGUCAUAGCUGUUUCCU
This 586-nucleotide ribosomal RNA is filed under the name uncultured bacterium. RNAcentral's name for it is "partial 16S ribosomal RNA". It matches the Rfam family "Bacterial small subunit ribosomal RNA", at positions 355 to 1375 of the family's 1533-position model. The record is from RNAcentral.